RNAcentral lists this ribosomal RNA (397 nucleotides) under uncultured bacterium. RNAcentral's name for it is "bacterial SSU rRNA". It matches the Rfam family "Bacterial small subunit ribosomal RNA", at positions 30 to 429 of the family's 1533-position model. The record is from RNAcentral.
AUUGAACGCUGGCGGCAUGCCUUACACAUGCAAGUCGAACGGCAGCACGGGAGCAAUCCUGGUGGCGAGUGGCGAACGGGUGAGUAAUAUAUCGGAACGUGCCCAGUCGUGGGGAUAACGUAGCGAAAGCUACGCUAAUACCGCAUACGAUCUAUGGAUGAAAGCGGGGGAUCGCAAGACCUCGCGCGAUUGGAGCGGCCGAUAUCAGAUUAGGUAGUUGGUGAGGUAAAGGCUCACCAAGCCGACGAUCUGUAGCUGGUCUGAGAGGACGACCAGCCACACUGGGACUGAGACACGGCCCAGACUCCUACGGGAGGCAGCAGUGGGAAUUUUGGACAAUGGGCGCAAGCCUGAUCCAGCAAUGCCGCGUGCAGGAUGAAGGCCUUCGGGUUGUAAC